AUACGGAGGACGCGAGCGUUAUCCGGAUUCAUUGGGUUUAAAGGGUGCGCAGGCGGCCGUGCAAGUCAGCGGUGAAAGCCCGGGGCUCAACCCCGGAAGUGCCGUUGGUACUGCAUGGCUGGAAUGCGGUCGAGGCGGGCGGAACGUGGCGUGUAGCGGUGAAAUGCGUAGAUAUGCCACAGAACGCCGAUAGCGGAGGCAGGUGGCCAGGCCUGCAGUGACGCUCGGGCACGAAAGCGUGGGGAUCGAACAGUAUUAGAUACCCUGGUAGUCCACGCCGUAAACGAUGGGCGCUCGUCGUCGGCGGCAGACAGUCGGCGGCCAAGCGAAAGCGAUAAGCGCCCCACCUGGGGAGUACGGUCGCAAGGCUGAAACUCAAAUGAAUUGACGGGG
Molecule: ribosomal RNA, 393 nt
Filed under: uncultured bacterium
Lineage: Bacteria
Description: partial 16S ribosomal RNA
Rfam family: Bacterial small subunit ribosomal RNA
Source: RNAcentral